GACGAACGCUGGCGGCGUGCUUAACACAUGCAAGUCGAACGGAAAGGCCCUGCUUUUGUGGGGUGCUCGAGUGGCGAACGGGUGAGUAACACUUGAGUAACCUGCCCUUGACUUUGUGAUAACUUCAGGAAACUGGGGCUAAUACCGGAUAGGAGCUCCUGCUGCAUGGUGGGGGUUGGAAAGUUUCGGCGGUUGGGGAUGGACUCGCGGCUUAUCAGCUUGUUGGUUGGGUAGUGGCUUACCAAGGCUUUGACGGGUAGCCGGCCUGAGAGGGUGACCGGCCACAUUGGGACUGAGAUACGGACCAGAUUCCUACGGGAGGCAGCAGUGGGGAAUAUUGCACGAUGGGAGGAAGACUGAUGCAGAAACGCAGCGAGCGGGAAGACGGCCUUCGGGUUGUAAAACGAUUUCGACUGUGAAGAAGAGUGAGUGACGGUAAUGGGUAAAGAAGCAAGGGCUCAGUACGUG
Molecule: ribosomal RNA, 468 nt
Filed under: uncultured bacterium
Lineage: Bacteria
Description: partial 16S ribosomal RNA
Rfam family: Bacterial small subunit ribosomal RNA
Source: RNAcentral